This 1781-nucleotide long non-coding RNA is filed under the name Salmo salar (Atlantic salmon). RNAcentral's name for it is "lncRNA (ENSSSAG00000105903.1)". The record is from RNAcentral. Lineage: Eukaryota; Metazoa; Chordata; Actinopteri; Salmoniformes; Salmonidae.
GUAAAUCUGAUAUUGGUGAGUGCUAAACUUGCCGGGUGUCUAAAUAGCUAGCCCGUGAUGCCUGGGCUAUGUACUUAGAAUAUUGCAAAAUGUGCUUUCACCAAAAAGCUAUUUUAAAAUCGGACAUAUCGCGUGAAUAGAGGAGUUCUGUAUCUAUAAUUCUUAAAAUAAUUGUUAUGCUUUUUGUGAACGUUUAUCGUGAGUAAUUUAGUAAAUUGUUAGUAAAUUUCCCGGAAGUUUGCGGGGGGUAUGCUAGUUCUGAACGUCACAUGCUAAUGUAAAAAGCUGUUUUUUUUAUAUAAAUAUGAACUUGAUUGAACAAAACAUGCAUGUAUUGUAUAACAUAAUGUCCUAGGUGUGUCAUCUGAUGAAGAUCAUCAAAGGUUAGUGCUGCAUUUAGCUGUCUUCUGGGUUUUUGUGACAUUAUAUGCUAGCUUGAAAAAUGGGUGUCUGAUUAUUUCUGGCUUGGUACUCUGCUGACAUAAUCUAAUGUUUUGCUUUCGCUGUAAAGCCUUUUUGAAAUCAGACACUGUGGUUAGAUAAAGGAGAGUCUUAUCUUUAAAAUGCUGUGAAAAAUGCUCCUAUUCAGUCUUGCAGUUUUCUUUUGCUUUUUUCCGAUGUACUUCACUCUAAAAACCAUGUAAAUUUCAAUAUUUGUAGGAGCUCAUUUUUCAGCUGCUGCUGCUCAAAUUAUAAACUAGUGUUUUUCCACUUUCAAAAGACAUUCCAAUUCCUGCCAAAAUGUUCAUAAAUUCAUAAAAAUGAAAGAUUCACAGACUAAGGCCUACCUUCAAUUUGGACUUCCAGAUAAUUUGCACACGUAGGAUUUGACUAUAAAGUUUCAACAAUAUAUCAUUGAAAACAGAAACACAAGACCUAGUUUUAAAUCACAAAAUAUAUUAUUGAUCAAAUAAAGUUCUCAUAAGAUAAAAGUAAUGUAUUUGAGAUUAUUUCAUUAAAUUAUAGGUCCUACCUCAGUUCAGGAAGAGCAUCAAUGACCUGUCUAUGGAUUGUCUUAGUUUAACAAAAUAAUGCUUCAUUAUGACAUCAUGUACAUUAUGACAUAGCAGCCGUCUACAUCCUAAAAGUUUGUCAAAACCACUUGAAUAGGCAUGAAAUGUAAAAUUAAAUACAAUAGGCCUAAUUCAACAAUUGAAUUAAAAUAAUAGUUUGACAGUAAUUAUUCAGUUUAUUGGCUUUUAUUUUCAUUACAGUAGUGGUUUUGAAUUUAUUAAAAUCAGAGUAGGCCUAGUGAGUUUCGUAGAACUCGAUCGCUCAUUGAACAUCUGUGUGGAACGUUCCCAGCUGAUGCCACACAGACACCUUUGAAAAAAAAUCACGAUUUUAGAUUCAUAUUCAACUUAUCAGCAUAUAUGCACGGCAAAUAAAUUCCCAGUAAUCAAAUAAAUCUGAAAAUCGCAAUUAUCUAUUUAUUAUAGCAUCCUCUUAGAACGAGAAUCACUGUGGUGUCAAUGUUUUGAUUAUGUCCAAGUAGGAACAUUGCUAUAGGUAUUUUGACUUCUAUACUACAAUAGUGGUAGUUGUGUGCGUUUUCUUGUCGUUCAUUCGUUUUGAGUCAGCGCUAAACCCAACUCAACCAAAAAUAAAAGUUAAAGAAUGGAAUUAAGCCAGUGUCUUAGAUUGAACUAUCCAAGCAGUAAAUAUAUCCUUUAAAUGUUGAUAUUUGGUUGCGUUGUCAACUAAACACAAUUCAAUAUUACUUUUGUAAUACAGUAAAUAGCCUAAAGUUAAGGCUCUUACAAACUAAUGUAACAGUUUUU